Molecule: long non-coding RNA, 424 nt
Organism: Belonocnema kinseyi
Lineage: Eukaryota; Metazoa; Arthropoda; Insecta; Hymenoptera; Cynipidae
Exons: 2
Source: RefSeq, a predicted model, not a curated record
GACUCACAAGCGAAGUUGACGCGUUUGUUUUUUUGUUUCGUUUUUUGCUUGUAAACCCUUGGUUCUUGGGUUGAUUACCACAUCCUUCGUGAAAAAUUCACAGUUCCAGAUAUUCAUUCACCUGCAGCAAGGUGAGAUGCAGUGGCAGUGGCAGCGGCAAGCAUACAAGUCAAUCAAAGGAAUCAGCCGAGAAAAUCCAGUUCAUACCCCAGCCUACAAACUUUAGGAAAUGAUGUCAGCAAAAUAAAGAUUAUCCUUUGCCAAAUGCUACCGAAAUGAAAUGAAUGGCGGAGGCUAACACUGGUGUACUUACACCAGAAAUGCGAGAAGCUGCGGCCGCGAUGAAGGCGAAUGAAAAGUGAAAAUACGCGUGUGAGCUAUGUAAUCUCUAAGUUAAAGAAAUAAAAUUCACUUUUGAAAUCGA